This 242-nucleotide ribosomal RNA is filed under the name Erwinia aphidicola. Its description in RNAcentral is "partial 16S ribosomal RNA". It matches the Rfam family "Bacterial small subunit ribosomal RNA", at positions 118 to 363 of the family's 1533-position model. Lineage: Bacteria; Pseudomonadati; Pseudomonadota; Gammaproteobacteria; Enterobacterales; Erwiniaceae. The record is from RNAcentral.
UGGGAAACUGCCCGAUGGAGGGGGAUAACUACUGGAAACGGUAGCUAAUACCGCAUAACGUCGCAAGACCAAAGAGGGGGACCUUCGGGCCUCUUGCCAUCGGAUGUGCCCAGAUGGGAUUAGCUAGUAGGUGGGGUAACGGCUCACCUAGGCGACGAUCCCUAGCUGGUCUGAGAGGAUGACCAGCCACACUGGAACUGAGACACGGUCCAGACUCCUACGGGAGGCAGCAGUGGGGAAUA